GGAGGAAUACCCAAGUCCGGCUGAAGGGAUCGGUCUUGAAAACCGACAGGAGCUUAACGGCUCGCGGGGGUUCGAAUCCCUCUUCCUCCGCCA
This 93-nucleotide transfer RNA is filed under the name Staphylococcus aureus. RNAcentral describes it as "tRNA-Ser(tga)". It matches the Rfam family "tRNA". Rfam says of the family: Transfer RNA (tRNA) molecules are approximately 80 nucleotides in length. Lineage: Bacteria; Bacillati; Bacillota; Bacilli; Caryophanales; Staphylococcaceae. The record is from RNAcentral. RNAcentral also lists the same sequence under 39 other names.